This 630-nucleotide ribosomal RNA is filed under the name uncultured bacterium. Its description in RNAcentral is "bacterial SSU rRNA". The stretch from base 1 to 538 matches the Rfam family "Bacterial small subunit ribosomal RNA", at positions 338 to 873 of the family's 1533-position model. The record is from RNAcentral.
CCUACGGGAGGCAGCAGUGAGGAAUAUUGGACAAUGGGCGCAAGCCUGAUCCAGCCAUGCCGCGUGCAGGAUGACGGUCCUAUGGAUUGUAAACUGCUUUUAUACGAGAAGAAACACCCCUACGUGUAGGGACUUGACGGUAUCGUAAGAAUAAGGAUCGGCUAACUCCGUGCCAGCAGCCGCGGUAAUACGGAGGAUCCAAGCGUUAUCCGGAAUCAUUGGGUUUAAAGGGUCCGUAGGCGGUUUAGUAAGUCAGUGGUGAAAUCUCCCCGCUCAACGGGGAAACGGCCAUUGAUACUGCUAGACUUGAAUUAUUAGGAAGUAACUAGAAUAUGUAGUGUAGCGGUGAAAUGCUUAGAGAUUACAUGGAAUACCAAUUGCGAAGGCAGGUUACUACUAAUGGAUUGACGCUGAUGGACGAAAGCGUGGGUAGCGAACAGGAUUAGAUACCCUGGUAGUCCACGCCGUAAACGAUGGGAUACUAGCUGUUGGGUGACAAACUCAGGUGUAGUAGAGAAGAGUAGUAGUACGUCCGACCGCGGAGGUACGUUCGACGAAGAAGUAAGUAAAGUUAAAGUUAAAGUUAGUUACGGACGUGAGAGCGACGACGGACGACGACGAGGGAGGAGG